Molecule: ribosomal RNA, 756 nt
Filed under: uncultured bacterium
Lineage: Bacteria
Description: bacterial SSU rRNA
Rfam family: Bacterial small subunit ribosomal RNA
Source: RNAcentral
GGGGUUAUGGGCCAAUCGCCUUGAGUUGAUCAUGGCUCAGGACGAACGCUGGCGGCGUGCCUAAUACAUGCAAGUCGAGCGGGAACCUCGGGAGGGGUAACCCUUCCGGGGGGAGAGCGGCGAACGGGUGAGUAACACGUGGGCAACCUGCCCCGGACACCGGGAUAACUCAGGGAAACCGGGGCUAAUACCGGAUACCUCGGCGUGAUCGCAUGGUCGUGCCGGGAAAGCUCCGACGGUCCGGGAUGGGCCCGCGGCCUAUCAGCUUGUUGGUGGGGUAACGGCCUACCAAGGCGGCGACGGGUAGCUGGUCUGAGAGGACGGCCAGCCACACUGGGACUGAGACACGGCCCAGACUCCUACGGGAGGCAGCAGUAGGGAAUCUUGCGCUAAUGCGCGAAAGCGUGACGCAGCGACGCCGCGUGCGGGAUGAAGGCCCUCGGGUCGUAAACCGCUUUCGGCAGGGGCGAAGCGAAAGUGACGGUACCUGCAGAAGAAGUCCCGGCUAACUACGUGCCAGCAGCCGCGGUAACACGUAGGGGACGAGCGUUGUCCGGAUUUAUUGGGCGUAAAGAGCGCGUAGGCGGCUCGGAAAGUCGGUCGUGAAAUCCUGGGGCUCAACCCCGGAACUGCGUCCGAUACUUCCGAGCUGGAGGCAGGUAGGGGAGAUCGGAAUUCCUGGUGUAGCGGUGAAAUGCGCAGAUAUCAGGAGGAACACCGGUGGCGAAGGCGGAUCUCUGGGCCUUGCCUGACGCU